Molecule: ribosomal RNA, 2934 nt
Filed under: Enterobacter cloacae
Lineage: Bacteria; Pseudomonadati; Pseudomonadota; Gammaproteobacteria; Enterobacterales; Enterobacteriaceae
Also listed under: 1 other name
Description: bacterial LSU rRNA
Rfam family: Bacterial large subunit ribosomal RNA
Source: RNAcentral
GGGUUGUGAGGUUAAGCGACUAAGCGUACACGGUGGAUGCCCUGGCAGUCAGAGGCGAUGAAGGACGUGCUAAUCUGCGAAAAGCGCCGGCGAGGUGAUAUGAACCCUUGACCCGGCGAUGUCCGAAUGGGGAAACCCAGUGCAAUCCGUUGCACUAUCGUUAACUGAAUACAUAGGUUAACGAGGCGAACCGGGGGAACUGAAACAUCUAAGUACCCCGAGGAAAAGAAAUCAACCGAGAUUCCCCCAGUAGCGGCGAGCGAACGGGGAGCAGCCCGGAGUCUGAAUCAGCUUGUGUGUUAGUGGAACGGUCUGGAAAGUCCGACGGUACAGGGUGAUAGUCCCGUACACGAAAGCACACUUGCUGUGAACUCGAAGAGUAGGGCGGGACACGUGGUAUCCUGUCUGAAUAUGGGGGGACCAUCCUCCAAGGCUAAAUACUCCUGACUGACCGAUAGUGAACCAGUACCGUGAGGGAAAGGCGAAAAGAACCCCGGCGAGGGGAGUGAAAAAGAACCUGAAACCGUGUACGUACAAGCAGUGGGAGCCUCUUUUAUGGGGUGACUGCGUACCUUUUGUAUAAUGGGUCAGCGACUUAUAUUCUGUAGCAAGGUUAACCGUAUAGGGGAGCCGAAGGGAAACCGAGUCUUAACUGGGCGUUAAGUUGCAGGGUAUAGACCCGAAACCCGGUGAUCUAGCCAUGGGCAGGUUGAAGGUUGGGUAACACUAACUGGAGGACCGAACCGACUAAUGUUGAAAAAUUAGCGGAUGACCUGUGGCUGGGGGUGAAAGGCCAAUCAAACCGGGAGAUAGCUGGUUCUCCCCGAAAGCUAUUUAGGUAGCGCCUCGUGAAUUCAUCUUCGGGGGUAGAGCACUGUUUCGGCUAGGGGGCCAUCCCGGCUUACCAACCCGAUGCAAACUACGAAUACCGAAGAAUGUUAUCACGGGAGACACACGGCGGGUGCUAACGUCCGUCGUGAAGAGGGAAACAACCCAGACCGCCAGCUAAGGUCCCAAAGUCAUGGUUAAGUGGGAAACGAUGUGGGAAGGCACAGACAGCCAGGAUGUUGGCUUAGAAGCAGCCAUCAUUUAAAGAAAGCGUAAUAGCUCACUGGUCGAGUCGGCCUGCGCGGAAGAUGUAACGGGGCUAAACCAUGCACCGAAGCUGCGGCAGCGACACUUAUGUGUUGUUGGGUAGGGGAGCGUUCUGUAAGCCGUUGAAGGUGUGCUGUGAGGCAUGCUGGAGGUAUCAGAAGUGCGAAUGCUGACAUAAGUAACGAUAAAGCGGGUGAAAAGCCCGCUCGCCGGAAGACCAAGGGUUCCUGUCCAACGUUAAUCGGGGCAGGGUGAGUCGACCCCUAAGGCGAGGCCGAAAGGCGUAGUCGAUGGGAAACAGGUUAAUAUUCCUGUACUUGGUGUUACUGCGAAGGGGGGACGGAGAAGGCUAUGUCAGCCGGGCGACGGUUGUCCCGGUUUAAGCAUGUAGGCGGAGGUUCCAGGUAAAUCCGGUACCUUUUUAACGCUGAGGUGUGAUGACGAGGCACUACGGUGCUGAAGUGAUAAAUGCCCUGCUUCCAGGAAAAGCCUCUAAGCAUCAGGUAACACGAAAUCGUACCCCAAACCGACACAGGUGGUCAGGUAGAGAAUACCAAGGCGCUUGAGAGAACUCGGGUGAAGGAACUAGGCAAAAUGGUGCCGUAACUUCGGGAGAAGGCACGCUGAUGUGUAGGUGAAGCCCCUGCGGGCGGAGCUGAAAUCAGUCGAAGAUACCAGCUGGCUGCAACUGUUUAUUAAAAACACAGCACUGUGCAAACACGAAAGUGGACGUAUACGGUGUGACGCCUGCCCGGUGCCGGAAGGUUAAUUGAUGGGGUUAGCGGCAACGCGAAGCUCUUGAUCGAAGCCCCGGUAAACGGCGGCCGUAACUAUAACGGUCCUAAGGUAGCGAAAUUCCUUGUCGGGUAAGUUCCGACCUGCACGAAUGGCGUAAUGAUGGCCAGGCUGUCUCCACCCGAGACUCAGUGAAAUUGAACUCGCUGUGAAGAUGCAGUGUACCCGCGGCAAGACGGAAAGACCCCGUGAACCUUUACUAUAGCUUGACACUGAACACUGGUCCUUGAUGUGUAGGAUAGGUGGGAGGCUUUGAAGCGUGGACGCCAGUCUGCGUGGAGCCAACCUUGAAAUACCACCCUUUAAUGGCUGGUGUUCUAACGUAGACCCGUAAUCCGGGUUGCGGACAGUGUCUGGUGGGUAGUUUGACUGGGGCGGUCUCCUCCCAAAGAGUAACGGAGGAGCACGAAGGUUGGCUAAUCCUGGUCGGACAUCAGGAGGUUAGUGCAAUGGCAUAAGCCAGCUUGACUGCGAGCGUGACGGCGCGAGCAGGUGCGAAAGCAGGUCAUAGUGAUCCGGUGGUUCUGAAUGGAAGGGCCAUCGCUCAACGGAUAAAAGGUACUCCGGGGAUAACAGGCUGAUACCGCCCAAGAGUUCAUAUCGACGGCGGUGUUUGGCACCUCGAUGUCGGCUCAUCACAUCCUGGGGCUGAAGUAGGUCCCAAGGGUAUGGCUGUUCGCCAUUUAAAGUGGUACGCGAGCUGGGUUUAGAACGUCGUGAGACAGUUCGGUCCCUAUCUGCCGUGGGCGCUGGAGAAUUGAGGGGGGCUGCUCCUAGUACGAGAGGACCGGAGUGGACGCAUCACUGGUGUUCGGGUUGUCAUGCCAAUGGCAUUGCCCGGUAGCUAAAUGCGGAAGAGAUAAGUGCUGAAAGCAUCUAAGCACGAAACUUGCCCCGAGAUGAGUUCUCCCUGAGACUUUAAGUCUCCUGAAGGAACGUUGAAGACGACGACGUUGAUAGGUCGGGUGUGUAAGCGCAGCGAUGCGUUGAGCUAACCGAUACUAAUGAACCGUGAGGCUUAACCUUACAACGCCGAAGGUGUUU